GACUCGGUAGCGGAAGGUCCGCACCGCAGCGCGCAUGGGUGGAUGACUUAUUUGACGCUUCAUGUGGUGGUCGCCUGUUCGAUUCAGGCUCGAGUCA
Non-coding RNA from Mycena vitilis, 97 nucleotides. Lineage: Eukaryota; Fungi; Basidiomycota; Agaricomycetes; Agaricales; Mycenaceae. The record is from the annotation of a GenBank genome assembly.